This is a non-coding RNA of Chelonia mydas (Green sea turtle), 202 nucleotides long. Lineage: Eukaryota; Metazoa; Chordata; Testudines; Cheloniidae. The record is from Rfam.
GGAUGAUUGAUCAUACCCGCCAGCUGGCUAAUAUCAUAAUUAACAAAGUUGCUACCACAUCUGAGAAGUAUAAUCGAAAAAUUUACCAGCAGUGUGAUGCCAUUGUCACAAAGAUCAUAAGCAUUACAGAGUCGACUUUUGCAAUCCUGGAGCUGCAGAACUAUGUAGAUGUGCUGAGAAGGGGUGCACUUGUACAGCUAAA